ACCCGCUGAACUUAAGCAUAUCAAUAAGCGGAGGAAAAGAAACCAACAGGGAUUGCCCUAGUAACGGCGAGUGAAGCGGCAACAGCUCAAAUUUGAAAUCUGGCUCUUUUAGAGUCCGAGUUGUAAUUUGCAGAGGGCGCUUUGGCUUUGGCAGCGGUCCAAGUUCCUUGGAACAGGACGUCACAGAGGGUGAGAAUCCCGUACGUGGUCGCUGGCUAUUGCCGUGUAAAGCCCCUUCGACGAGUCGAGUUGUUUGGGAAUGCAGCUCUAAAUGGGAGGUACAUUUCUUCUAAAGCUAAAUAUUGGCCAGAGACCGAUAGCGCACAAGUAGAGUGAUCGAAAGAUGAAAAGCACUUUGGAAAGAGAGUCAAACAGCACGUGAAAUUGUUGAAAGGGAAGCGCUUGCAGCCAGACUUGCUUACAGUUGCUCACCCGGGCUUUUGCCCGGUGCACUCUUCUGUAGGCAGGCCAGCAUCAGUUUGGGCGGUAGGAUAAAGGUCUCUGUCACGUACCUCUCUUCGGGGAGGCCUUAUAGGGGAGACGACAUACUACCAGCCUGGACUGAGGUCCGCGCAUCUGCUAGGAUGCUGGCGUAAUGGCUGU
RNAcentral lists this ribosomal RNA (603 nucleotides) under uncultured fungus. Its description in RNAcentral is "eukaryotic LSU rRNA". It matches the Rfam family "Eukaryotic large subunit ribosomal RNA", at positions 23 to 641 of the family's 3401-position model. The record is from RNAcentral. Lineage: Eukaryota; Fungi.